CCCUUCCCAUCCCGAACAGGACCGUGAAACAACUCCACGCCGAUGAUAGUGCGGAUUGCCCGUGUGAAAGUAGGUAAUCGUCAGGC
RNAcentral lists this ribosomal RNA (86 nucleotides) under Paraburkholderia unamae. Lineage: Bacteria; Pseudomonadati; Pseudomonadota; Betaproteobacteria; Burkholderiales; Burkholderiaceae. The record is from RNAcentral.